GAUGAACGCUGGCGGCGUGCCUAAUACAUGCAAGUCGAGCGAACAGACGAGGAGCUUGCUCCUCUGCCGUUAGCGGCGGACGGGUGAGUAACACGUGGAUAACCUACCUAUAAGACUGGGAUAACUUCGGGAAACCGGAGCUAAUACCGGAUAAUAUAUUGAACCGCAUGGUUCAAUAGUGAAAGACGGUUUUGCUGUCACUUAUAGAUGGAUCCGCGCCGCAUUAGCUAGUUGGUAAGGUAACGGCUUACCAAGGCGACGAUGCGUAGCCGACCUGAGAGGGUGAUCAGCCACACUGGAACUGAGACACGGUCCAGACUCCUACGGGAGGCAGCAGUAGGGAAUCUUCCGCAAUGGGCGAAAGCCUGACGGAGCAACGCCGCGUGAGUGAUGAAGGUCUUCGGAUCGUAAAGCUCUGUUAUUAGGGAAGAACAAAUGUGUAAGUAACUAUGCACGUCUUGACGGUACCUAAUCAGAAAGCCACGGCUAACUACGUG
Molecule: ribosomal RNA, 497 nt
Filed under: uncultured bacterium
Lineage: Bacteria
Description: partial 16S ribosomal RNA
Rfam family: Bacterial small subunit ribosomal RNA
Source: RNAcentral